RNAcentral lists this long non-coding RNA (612 nucleotides) under Apteryx haastii (Great spotted kiwi). RNAcentral's name for it is "lncRNA (ENSAHAG00000016328.1)". The record is from RNAcentral. Lineage: Eukaryota; Metazoa; Chordata; Aves; Apterygiformes; Apterygidae.
GCUCUCCCGCCCCUGCAGCCGAGGGAGAAGCCCUGGCCGCAAAGGAUGCUGGGAGCUCGGCCAAUGGUAUAGCCGCAAAGGCUGCUGGGAAUGCGGCCACCCCAGAGACUGCAAAGGACACUGGGACGUUGGCUGUCCUGGAGGCCCCAGAGGAUGCUGGGAGCUCGGUCACCUUAGGGGCUGCAAAGGACUCUGGGAGCAAGACCAACAAUGUGGCUGCAAAGGACACUGGGAGCUCGGCCAAAUCAGGGGGUGCAAAGGAUGCUGGGAUAUUGGCUGUCCCAGAGGCUGCAAAGGACUCUGGGAGUUCGGUCAACCUAGAGGCUGCAAAGCAUGCUGGGAGUUUGGCUGUCCAAGAGGAUGCAAAGGAUGCUGGGAGCUCGGCCAAUGGCAUCGCUGCAAAGGAUGCUGGGAGCUCGGCCAACACAGAGGCUGCAAAGGAUGCUGGGAGCUCGGCCAAUGGCAUCGCUGCAAAGGCCGCUGGGAGCUCGGCCAACUUGGAGGCUGCAAAGAAUGCUGGGAGCCUGGCCAAUGGCAUCUCUGCAAAGGAUGCUGGGAACUCGGCCAACGCGGAGGCUGCAAAGGAUGCUGGGAGCUCGGCCAAUGGCAUCG